CCUACGGUGUGCUGCAGUGAGGAAUAUUGGUCAAUGGGCGGAAGCCUGAACCAGCCAAGUCGCGUGAGGGAAUAAGGCCCUACGGGUCGUAAACCUCUUUUGCCGGGGAGCAAGGGCGGGGACGUGUCCCGGCCCGGAGAGUUCCCGGCGAAAAAGCAUCGGCUAACUCCGUGCCAGCAGCCGCGGUAAUACGGAGGAUCCGAGCGUUAUCCGGAUUUAUGGGGUUUAAAGGGGGCGCAGGCGGGCCGUUAGGCCGGCGGUGAAAUCGCGGGGCUAAACCCCGCCGAGACGUAGGAACUGGGGGCCGUGAGUGCGGCGGGGGCAUGCGGAAUGCGCGGUGUAGCGGUGAAAUGCAUAGAUAUCGCGCAGAACCCCGAUGGCGAAGGCAGCGUGCCGUGCCGCCACUGACGCUGAGGCACGAAAGCGCGGGGAGCGAACAGGAUUAGAUACCCGAGUAGUC
RNAcentral lists this ribosomal RNA (460 nucleotides) under uncultured bacterium. RNAcentral's name for it is "partial 16S ribosomal RNA". It matches the Rfam family "Bacterial small subunit ribosomal RNA", at positions 338 to 795 of the family's 1533-position model. The record is from RNAcentral.